GCAAGUCGAGCGCGCCCUUCGGGGUGAGCGGCGGACGGGUUAGUAACGCGUGGGAAUAUGCCCAAAGGUACGGAAUAGCCUCUGGAAACGGAGAGUAGUACCGUAUGUGCCCUUCGGGGGAAAGAUUUAUCGCCUUUGGAUUAGCCCGCGUUAGAUUAGGUAGUUGGUGGGGUAAUGGCCUACCAAGCCUACGAUCUAUAGCUGGUUUUAGAGGAUGAUCAGCAACACUGGGACUGAGACACGGCCCAGACUCCUACGGGAGGCAGCAGUGGGGAAUCUUGGACAAUGGGCGCAAGCCUGAUCCAGCCAUGCCGCGUGAGUGAUGAAGGCCUUAGGGUCGUAAAGCUCUUUCGCCAGGGAUGAUAAUGACAGUACCUGGUAAAGAAACCCCGGCUAACUCCGUGCCAGCAGCCGCGGUAAUACGGAGGGGGUUAGCGUUGUUCGGAAUUACUGGGCGUAAAGCGCGCGUAGGCGGAUCGGAAAGUUGGGGGGUGAAAUCCCGGGGCUCAANCCCGGAACU
Molecule: ribosomal RNA, 520 nt
Filed under: uncultured bacterium
Lineage: Bacteria
Description: bacterial SSU rRNA
Rfam family: Bacterial small subunit ribosomal RNA
Source: RNAcentral